RNAcentral lists this ribosomal RNA (482 nucleotides) under uncultured bacterium. RNAcentral's name for it is "partial 16S ribosomal RNA". It matches the Rfam family "Bacterial small subunit ribosomal RNA", at positions 30 to 507 of the family's 1533-position model. The record is from RNAcentral.
AUUGAACGCUGGCGGCAUGCUUUACACAUGCAAGUCGAACGGUAACAGGCCGCAAGGUGCUGACGAGUGGCGCACGGGUGAGUAAUGCAUCGGAACGUGCCCAGUCGUGGGGGAUAACUACUCGAAAGAGUAGCUAAUACCGCAUACGAUCUAUGGAUGAAAGCGGGGGACCGUAAGGCCUCGCGCGAUUGGAGCGGCCGAUGUCAGAUUAGGUAGUUGGUGGGGUAAAGGCUCACCAAGCCAACGAUCUGUAGCUGGUCUGAGAGGACGACCAGCCACACUGGGACUGAGACACGGCCCAGACUCCUACGGGAGGCAGCAGUGGGGAAUUUUGGACAAAGGGCGCAAGCCUGAUCCAGCAAUGCUGCGUGCAGGAAGAAGGCCUUCGGGUUGUAAACUGCUUUUGUGCGGAACGAAACGGCUCUGGUUAAUACCCGGGGCUAAUGACGGUACCGUAAGAAUAAGCACCGGCUAACUACGUG